GAUGAACGCUGGCGGCGUGCCUAAUACAUGCAAGUCGAACGAAGCGGGGACGGGUGAGUAAGACGUGGAUAAACUCGGUUACGAAUGGGAUAAAUUCGGGAAACCGGUGCUAAACCGGCUACUUAGAGAUGGAUCCGCGAUGCAUUAGCUAGGUGGUAAGGUAACGGCUUAGCAAGGCAACGAUGCAUAGACGACCUGAGAGGGUGAUCGGCCACACUGGAACUGAGAAACGGUCCAGACUCCUACGGGAGGCAGCAGUAGGGAAUCUUCCGCAAUGGGCGAAAGCCUGACGGAGCAACGCCGCGUGAGUGAUGAAGGUUUUCGGAUCGUAAAACUCUGUUAUUAGGGAAGCGGUACCUAAUCAGAAAGCCACGGCUAACUACGUGCCAGCAGCCGCGGUAAUUC
This 405-nucleotide ribosomal RNA is filed under the name uncultured bacterium. RNAcentral describes it as "partial 16S ribosomal RNA". It matches the Rfam family "Bacterial small subunit ribosomal RNA", at positions 28 to 526 of the family's 1533-position model. The record is from RNAcentral.